Long non-coding RNA from Mytilus trossulus (common blue mussel), 875 nucleotides. RefSeq lists it as uncharacterized. NCBI's taxonomy places the organism in Eukaryota, Metazoa, Mollusca, Bivalvia, Mytilida, Mytilidae. The transcript is spliced from 3 exons. The record is from RefSeq and is a predicted model, not a curated record.
GGAGAAAGUAUUGCAUGAUGAAAUUGACAUUGCAUAAAAUAUAGAAAUCAACGACAACGGAAGCCCGCAAUGAACGGUGUUUUAAUCUUUUGCUGACGACAACUUCCAAAUCUACUUAGGACCAGGAUUUUUUAAGGGAACAAGAAAUCUUCAUAGGGAUACAUAGAUUGGACAUUUUCUAAAUGGAUCCACAGAACUCUGUGUCUCACCUGUAGUUGCUGCUGUUAGUGUAAAAGUGUGAUGUUGACUAUAAAAAUUUCAGCAACAGAAUAAAGAAUUCCAAGAGUCUAAUACGGUUUAUUAAACAGGAUUUUAUCAUUGAAUAAACAUCCUACAAGAAUAUAACAUACAAAUAAGUAAUUGUGUGCAGGGAAGAACAUUUAAAAAAAACUGUAAGAGACAUACAGUGGUGUAUGUUUAAAGAGACCGAAAGAACCUGUAAUAACUUGCCAUGAGUGUAUAUUUUCCAAACCAGAAGCUCAUUCAUAAUAAUAUACAAUUUAAAUUAAAAUUAUUGUAUGAACAUAACAGAUAAUGUCUCAAAAGAGAAAAUUUAGUUUUAAAUGAAACAUUUAAGUACAAAAUAUUGAAAUAGUCCUUUCCAUGUUGUGGGACAUGUAGAAAGUUUAUGCUUUCACCAUUCAUGUAGCUCCAUAUAGAGGAAUGGGUCCCUGUCCCCCUCCCCCCCAAAAAACCGCAUUCGUAUCCGACAGCAAUCAAUCGAUAAAAAACACCAAACAAAAAUCAAAAGGGAAACAUACCAUCGACACUUGAUACAUGUAGCAUGCUCUGCAUUGUGAAUGAAAACUAAAUCAACAAAGAUUUUUUUAUGUUUUUUUUACAUGAGACAAGCAAUGAGAAGGUUCCUACCUUGG